Molecule: long non-coding RNA, 469 nt
Filed under: Mytilus galloprovincialis (Mediterranean mussel)
Lineage: Eukaryota; Metazoa; Mollusca; Bivalvia; Mytilida; Mytilidae
Source: RNAcentral
CCCUUAUCAAGACUCAAAGCAGCAUCAUUGCCAAACAUAUAAUUCAUUUGAAAAUUAAGGUCUUUCCGAAUCGACUUGACUUGCACAGAAAUGUUUGCCACUGGUCUUUACUCAAACAACGAUUCACUAAUAAAUGCAUUACUUAAAAAGUGUGAGGUAAAUGUAUUGUUUGUCUAGUACAUGUAUCUCGGAUCCGUUAAAUUACCCUUAAAACUAAAAAAAAACCAACAUUACCCCCUCCCUUUGCCAAAUACUCCUUGGAGAAGAAAUACCAUUUGAAACAAACAGAAAAGAUAGGAAUAUAGUGAUCCCUAAUAUAUCAUUCCUUCUUCUCCUUCAAUCUCUGUACCGAUGUAAUGCAUUGGCUUUAUGAGAAUGAAAAUAUAUAUUCUUCGCCUGUAAGCACGCUGCUGCAGCCUACGUUUUCUAAUUCUUAAUCGAGACAUCUUUAUUAUUUUUAAACUACUGC